Molecule: ribosomal RNA, 1753 nt
Filed under: Staphylococcus aureus
Lineage: Bacteria; Bacillati; Bacillota; Bacilli; Caryophanales; Staphylococcaceae
Description: partial 23S ribosomal RNA
Rfam family: Bacterial large subunit ribosomal RNA
Source: RNAcentral
CAAACUCCGAAUGCCAAUUAAUUUAACUUGGGAGUCAGAACAUGGGUGAUAAGGUCCGUGUUCGAAAGGGAAACAGCCCAGACCACCAGCUAAGGUCCCAAAAUAUAUGUUAAGUGGAAAAGGAUGUGGCGUUGCCCAGACAACUAGGAUGUUGGCUUAGAAGCAGCCAUCAUUUAAAGAGUGCGUAAUAGCUCACUAGUCGAGUGACACUGCGCCGAAAAUGUACCGGGGCUAAACAUAUUACCGAAGCUGUGGAUUGUCCUUUGGACAAUGGUAGGAGAGCGUUCUAAGGGCGUUGAAGCAUGAUCGUAAGGACAUGUGGAGCGCUUAGAAGUGAGAAUGCCGGUGUGAGUAGCGAAAGACGGGUGAGAAUCCCGUCCACCGAUUGACUAAGGUUUCCAGAGGAAGGCUCGUCCGCUCUGGGUUAGUCGGGUCCUAAGCUGAGGCCGACAGGCGUAGGCGAUGGAUAACAGGUUGAUAUUCCUGUACCACCUAUAAUCGUUUUAAUCGAUGGGGGGACGCAGUAGGAUAGGCGAAGCGUGCGAUUGGAUUGCACGUCUAAGCAGUAAGGCUGAGUAUUAGGCAAAUCCGGUACUCGUUAAGGCUGAGCUGUGAUGGGGAGGAGACAUUGUGUCUUCGAGUCGUUGAUUUCACACUGCCGAGAAAAGCCUCUAGAUAGAAAAUAGGUGCCCGUACCGCAAACCGACACAGGUAGUCAAGAUGAGAAUUCUAAGGUGAGCGAGCGAACUCUCGUUAAGGAACUCGGCAAAAUGACCCCGUAACUUCGGGAGAAGGGGUGCUCUUUAGGGUUAACGCCCAGAAGAGCCGCAGUGAAUAGGCCCAAGCGACUGUUUAUCAAAAACACAGGUCUCUGCUAAACCGUAAGGUGAUGUAUAGGGGCUGACGCCUGCCCGGUGCUGGAAGGUUAAGAGGAGUGGUUAGCUUCUGCGAAGCUACGAAUCGAAGCCCCAGUAAACGGCGGCCGUAACUAUAACGGUCCUAAGGUAGCGAAAUUCCUUGUCGGGUAAGUUCCGACCCGCACGAAAGGCGUAACGAUUUGGGCACUGUCUCAACGAGAGACUCGGUGAAAUCAUAGUACCUGUGAAGAUGCAGGUUACCCGCGACAGGACGGAAAGACCCCGUGGAGCUUUACUGUAGCCUGAUAUUGAAAUUCGGCACAGCUUGUACAGGAUAGGUAGGAGCCUUUGAAAUGUGAGCGCUAGCUUACGUGGAGGCGCUGGUGGGAUACUACCCUAGCUGUGUUGGCUUUCUAACCCGCACCACUUAUCGUGGUGGGAGACAGUGUCAGGCGGGCAGUUUGACUGGGGCGGUCGCCUCCUAAAAGGUAACGGAGGCGCUCAAAGGUUCCCUCAGAAUGGUUGGAAAUCAUUCAUAGAGUGUAAAGGCAUAAGGGAGCUUGACUGCGAGACCUACAAGUCGAGCAGGGUCGAAAGACGGACUUAGUGAUCCGGUGGUUCCGCAUGGAAGGGCCAUCGCUCAACGGAUAAAAGCUACCCCGGGGAUAACAGGCUUAUCUCCCCCAAGAGUUCACAUCGACGGGGAGGUUUGGCACCUCGAUGUCGGCUCAUCGCAUCCUGGGGCUGUAGUCGGUCCCAAGGGUUGGGCUGUUCGCCCAUUAAAGCGGUACGCGAGCUGGGUUCAGAACGUCGUGAGACAGUUCGGUCCCUAUCCGUCGUGGGCGUAGGAAAUUUGAGAGGAGCUGUCCUUAGUACGAGAGGACCGGGAUGGACAU